Molecule: ribosomal RNA, 927 nt
Filed under: Triticum aestivum (bread wheat)
Lineage: Eukaryota; Viridiplantae; Streptophyta; Magnoliopsida; Poales; Poaceae
Description: partial small subunit ribosomal RNA
Source: RNAcentral
AUGGCCGUGGACCUGCAGCGCCUGCGCCACAUGCUGCUCGCCACCGGCGGCGGCCACCACCAGCUCGCCAACCGGCCGGGCGCCUCCGCGGCUGCCAUGCCUGCGAGCGGGCCUUGCUACGGCGCCGCGGUGACGGGCCAGCCGUACGCGGACCUCUUCACGCCGCCGCCGACGAUGUCGGCCGCGGACCAGUACUCGGAGCUGUUGGCGCUGGCCGCGGUUGAUCUGGCGAGGAAGGGCGACGGCGCCCAGGAAAUGACCUCCGGCAACAAGCGGAGGCGCGUCGACGAGGGGUCCUCGUCGGUGCUCGGCGAAGUUCUUGCGGCCCACGCGCAACAGCAGGCCGUCGCCGUCGACCACAUCCUGCACAGACAUGCGAGAAAGAUGUGGGCUGCUCUGGCGGAGCAGAGGCGGAGCCACCUGCGGCUCAUCGUCUCCACCGUGGAGGCCAGGGCGGCGAAGCGGCUCAAGGCCAAGGACGACGAGGUCGAGCGGGUCCGGGGCAUGAACUGGGCGCUGGAGGAGCGCCUCAGGAGCCUCUACAUGGAGGCUCAGAUGUGGCGCGACGUCGCGCAGUCCCACGACACCGCCGCCAACGUGCUCCGCGCCGACCUGCAGCGGGUGCUCGACGCGCAGGCGGUCCGCGGCGGCGGCGGCGGCGGCGGCGACGGCGACGGUCAGGACGACGCCGAGUCGUGCUGCUGGGGGGAGAACCAGGUGCCCGUCUGCGUGGAGGAGGCCGAGGUGGGCACGCCGGCCCCGACAGGAGGAGUCGGAAGGUGCAAGGGGUGCGGCGACGGCGCGGCCGCGGUGCUGCUGCUGCCGUGCCGGCACCUCUCCGUGUGCGCGCCGUGCGCGGCCUCGGCGCAGGCGUGCCCGUCGUGCGGAUGCGCCAAGAACGGCAGCGUCUGCGUCAACUUUUCGUGA